UGCGUAGGCGGUUAGUUAGGUCUGUUGUGAAAUCCCCGGGCUCAACCUGGGAAUGGCAAUGGAUACUGGCUAGCUAGAGUGUGUCAGAGGAUGGUGGAAUUCCCGGUGUAGCGGUGAAAUGCGUAGAGAUCGGGAGGAACGAAUCAGUGGCGAAGGCGGCCAUCUGGGACAACACUGACGCUGAAGCACGAAAGCGUGGGGGAGCAAACA
Molecule: ribosomal RNA, 210 nt
Filed under: uncultured bacterium
Lineage: Bacteria
Description: partial 16S ribosomal RNA
Rfam family: Bacterial small subunit ribosomal RNA
Source: RNAcentral